CUCUCGGUAGCCAAGUUGGUCUAAGGCGCAAGACUGUAAUGUAAGGAUUCGUUUCCUGAGAUAUCUUGAGAUCGGGUGUUCGACUCACCCCCGGGAGA
This is a non-coding RNA of Arxiozyma heterogenica, 98 nucleotides long. NCBI's taxonomy places the organism in Eukaryota, Fungi, Ascomycota, Saccharomycetes, Saccharomycetales, Saccharomycetaceae. The record is from the annotation of a RefSeq genome assembly.